RNAcentral lists this microRNA precursor (84 nucleotides) under Vicugna pacos (alpaca). Its description in RNAcentral is "miRNA (ENSVPAG00000017905.1)". The record is from RNAcentral. Lineage: Eukaryota; Metazoa; Chordata; Mammalia; Artiodactyla; Camelidae.
UGCUCUGGAUUAGGCUUUGGCUUAAGGAAAUAUUGUGGCUGGUUUGAUCUUAUAUCCAGAUCAUUCAUAAUUUCUCCACGUCAG